GCUGGGUAUUGUAGUGUACGCCUGUAAUCUCAGCUACCAAAAUGGUUGAGGCUGAUGGAUCUCUUGAAUUUUGAAGUUCUGAAUGGCAGUGGACUAAACUGAUUAGGUGUCCAUUCUAAGUUCAACAUCAAUAUGGGUGAGCUACCAGGAGUGAGGGGGCCAUAGGUUGCCUAAGGAGGGGCAAACAGGCCCAGGUUGGAAAUACAGGAUGUCAAAGUUCCGUUUCCAAUUGAUCAGUAGUGGGAUUGGGCUCCUGAAUAGCGCCUGAAUUUUCAGGCUGGGUAAAAUAGAGAGAUUUAGUCACAC
Molecule: signal recognition particle RNA, 306 nt
Filed under: Vombatus ursinus (common wombat)
Lineage: Eukaryota; Metazoa; Chordata; Mammalia; Diprotodontia; Vombatidae
Description: Metazoan signal recognition particle RNA (ENSVURG00010014882.1)
Rfam family: Metazoan signal recognition particle RNA
About the family: The signal recognition particle (SRP) is a universally conserved ribonucleoprotein. It is involved in the co-translational targeting of proteins to membranes. The eukaryotic SRP consists of a 300-nucleotide 7S RNA and six proteins: SRPs 72, 68, 54, 19, 14, and 9.
Source: Rfam by way of RNAcentral